This 68-nucleotide transfer RNA is filed under the name Pirenella cingulata. Its description in RNAcentral is "tRNA-Val". Lineage: Eukaryota; Metazoa; Mollusca; Gastropoda; Potamididae. The record is from RNAcentral.
UAAGAUAUAGCAUAAACUAAUGUAUUUCACUUACGCUGAAAUGAUACUUCUAUAAGGAGUUGUCUUAA